UUAGAGUUUGAUCCUGGCUCAGGAUGAACGCUAGCGAUAGGCUUAACACAUGCAAGUCGAGGGGCAGCAUGGUCUUAGCUUGCUAAGACUGAUGGCGACCGGCGCACGGGUGCGUAACGCGUAUGCAACUUGCCUCACAGAGGGGGAUAACCCGUCGAAAGACGGACUAAUACCGCGUACACUUAGGAUAGGGCAUCCUAUCCCAAGGAAAUGAAUUUCGCUGUGAGAUAGGCAUGCGUCCCAUUAGCUAGUUGGUGAGGUAACGGCUCACCAAGGCGACGAUGGGUAGGGGAACUGAGAGGUUGAACCCCCACACUGGUACUGAGACACGGACCAGACUCCUACGGGAGGCAGCAGUGAGGAAUAUUGGUCAAUGGGCGAGAGCCUGAACCAGCCAAGUCGCGUGAAGGAUGACUGUCUUAUGGAUUGUAAACUUCUUUUAUACGGGAAUAACAAGAGUCACGUGUGACUCCCUGCAUGUACCGUAUGAAUAAGCAUCGGCUAACUCCGUGCCAGCAGCCGCGGUAAUACGGAGGAUGCGAGCGUUAUCCGGAUUUAUUGGGUUUAAAGGGUGCGUAGGCGGCCUGUUAAGUCAGCGGUGAAAUCUAGGAGCUUAACUCCUAAAUUGCCAUUGAUACUGGCGGGCUUGAGUGUAGAUGAGGUAGGCGGAAUGCGUGGUGUAGCGGUGGAAUGCAUAGAUAUCACGCAGAACUCCGAUUGCGAAGGCAGCUUACUAAGGUACAACUGACGCUGAAGCACGAAAGCGUGGGUAUCAAACAGGAUUAGAUACCCUGGUAGUCCACGCAGUAA
Molecule: ribosomal RNA, 810 nt
Filed under: uncultured bacterium
Lineage: Bacteria
Description: bacterial SSU rRNA
Rfam family: Bacterial small subunit ribosomal RNA
Source: RNAcentral